Molecule: long non-coding RNA, 202 nt
Filed under: Lathyrus oleraceus (garden pea)
Lineage: Eukaryota; Viridiplantae; Streptophyta; Magnoliopsida; Fabales; Fabaceae
Description: Pisum sativum (pea) long non-coding RNA (PSAT_LNC016903)
Source: RNAcentral
UUUAAUAAUCAUUUGUUUCUUAAUCCAAUAACUAUGUCAUAGCCAUCAUCUCAUUUUCAUAAGUGUUUUUUUUAUAUAUAACCAUUUCAUCCUCAUUUUAAUAACUAUUUCAUUCUAAUUUUUCUAAAUAUAAACAUUUCCUUCUCAUUUAAAUAAUCAUUUUAUUAUUAUUUUAAUAAUCAGUUUUAUAACCAUUUUAUUC